GAUGAACGCUAGCGGCAGGCUUAACACAUGCAAGUCGAGGGGCAUCAUAGAUUGCUUGCAAUCAGAUGGCGACCGGCGUACGGGUGCGUAACGCGUAUGGAAUCUACCUUUUACAGGGGUAUAGCCCGGAGAAAUUCGGAUUAAUCCCCCAUAGUAUUGUAUAGUGGCAUCAUUGUAUAAUUAAAGAUUUCGGAUUGGUAAGAGAUGACCAUGCGUCUUAUUAGCUGGUUGGUAUGGUAACGGCAUACCAAGGCAACGAUAAGUAGGGGUUCUGAGAGGGAUAUCCCCCACACUGGUACUGAGACACGGACCAGACUCCUACGGGAGGCAGCAGUGAGGAAUAUUGGACAAUGGGCUAAAGCCUGAUCCAGCCAUGCCGCGUGCAGGAAGACAGCCCUAUGGGUUGUAAACUGCUUUUCUACAGGAAGAAUAAGGAGUAUUAAUACUCUGAUGACGGUACUGUAGGAAUAAGCAUCGGCUAACUCCG
RNAcentral lists this ribosomal RNA (487 nucleotides) under uncultured Flavobacteriaceae bacterium. RNAcentral's name for it is "bacterial SSU rRNA". It matches the Rfam family "Bacterial small subunit ribosomal RNA", at positions 28 to 505 of the family's 1533-position model. Lineage: Bacteria; Pseudomonadati; Bacteroidota; Flavobacteriia; Flavobacteriales; Flavobacteriaceae. The record is from RNAcentral.